This 320-nucleotide ribosomal RNA is filed under the name Rhipicephalus sanguineus (brown dog tick). Its description in RNAcentral is "partial 12S ribosomal RNA". Lineage: Eukaryota; Metazoa; Arthropoda; Arachnida; Ixodida; Ixodidae. The record is from RNAcentral.
UUAGAUACCCUAUUAUUUUAGAGCUUAACAUUGUAAGUAAAUAAUAAUUAUGAAAGCAAAAAAUUAUGGCGGUAUUUUAAGCUUUUCAGAGGAAUUUGCUCUUUAAUGGAUAAAACACCAAAAUCUUACUUAGAUUUGUGAUUUCAAUUGUAUACCACUAUUAAAACAAUUUAUAACUUUAAUUGUUUAAAUUUACAAAACUAAAAUAUAUUAAGUCAAGGUGCAGUAAAAAUUUAAGGAUGAAGUGAAUUACAUUACUUUUUAGUGAGAUAAGUUUAUAACAAUAUUUAGGAUUUGAAAGUAAAAUUAAAAUAGGAUGU